CCUACGGGUGGCAGCAGUGAGGAAUAUUGGUCAAUGGACGAGAGUCUGAACCAGCCAAGUAGCGUGAAGGAUGACUGCCCUAUGGGUUGUAAACUUCUUUUAUAUGAGAAUAAACUGUUCCACGUGUGGGAUGUUGUAUGUACCAUAUGAAUAAGGAUCGGCUAACUCCGUGCCAGCAGCCGCGGUAAUACGGAGGAUCCGAGCGUUAUCCGGAUUUAUUGGGUUUAAAGGGAGCGUAGGUGGUUUGUUAAGUUAGUUGUGAAAGGUCGGGGCUCAACCCUGAAACUGCAGCUGAAACUGGUAGACUUGAGUAUAGUAGAGGUGGGCGGAAUUCGUGGUGUAGCGGUGAAAUGCGUAGAUAUCAGGAAGAACACCGAUGGCGAAGGCAGCCCGCUGGACUGCAACUGACACUGAGGCCCGAAAGCGUGGGUAGCAAACAGGAUUAGAUACCCGAGUAGUC
RNAcentral lists this ribosomal RNA (460 nucleotides) under uncultured bacterium. RNAcentral describes it as "partial 16S ribosomal RNA". It matches the Rfam family "Bacterial small subunit ribosomal RNA", at positions 338 to 795 of the family's 1533-position model. The record is from RNAcentral.